GGAAAGAUGGAGAGAUGAAUCAGAUGAACCAGCUCCUUUAAGAACCAGUAUUUCCACCCACAGACACGCCAGUAAUGGUGGUCCUUCUUUCUCCAAGCUCUUCUGCUCUGGAAGGAACCCUGGCUACCCUGCAGUGGUGCGUGACACUAUGGCCAAGGGAGACUUUUGAGGAGAGCUCUUGAGCGGAGACAAUCCAUGUUUUCAUGGAAGCUUCUCUGCCUCAGCUGAACGAACACAGGACUAUGUCUCAGGAUCAAAUUCACUGAGAGAUAUUAAUUAAUGCCUUCGCUACAGAAGAGACCAGAGUGCCAAAGAGAGCGCGCAAGUAUGCAGACUGGCAGGCAUAGGGAGAGGGAGCAGCAGGCUCUCUGCUGGCCAGAGAGCUGGGCAGGGAGCCCAACUCGGGCCUCAAUCCCAGGACCCUGGCAUCAUGACCUGAGGUAAGGCAGCCACUUAACCGACUGAGCCACCCAGGUGCCCCUUAAGUGAUGAG
Molecule: long non-coding RNA, 493 nt
Filed under: Mustela putorius furo (domestic ferret)
Lineage: Eukaryota; Metazoa; Chordata; Mammalia; Carnivora; Mustelidae
Description: lncRNA (ENSMPUG00000023876.1)
Source: RNAcentral